Erythranthe guttata (spotted monkey flower) is the source of this 774-nucleotide non-coding RNA. Lineage: Eukaryota; Viridiplantae; Streptophyta; Magnoliopsida; Lamiales; Phrymaceae. The record is from RefSeq and is a predicted model, not a curated record.
AAUCACUUUCUUACUUCUGUAAUAAACGGAGCUGAUUUGGUUCCCACAUUUUCAGCUGCUUCAGUAGAUGACUUGCGUGCCGAGGUGACAGCAUCUGCUUGGUUGAAUGAUCUGAGGAAUCAAAUAGAACGUACCAGAAUACUUAGUAUGGUUUAUCGGCGGGCAGCGGAAAGACGUACACAAUCAUUGGAAUAACUGAAUACGCACUACCUGACAUAUAUGGAUACUCACAGAAGCACUAAGAAAGAGAUUUCGUGUUCAAAUUCUCUGCUAUGGAGAUCUACAACUAAUCGGUGAGAGAUCUACUCAGUGUAGACAACACUCCACUAAGACCUCUCGAUGAUACAAAGAGAGAAACCAUUGUCGAGAGGCUGACAGAGGAGAUAUUAGGGGACUGGAGUCAUGUCAUUCAUCUCCUUUGUAUAUGUGAGGUUAAGAACUCAAAGACAAAUUGGAGACACGUCGCUUAAUGAAAUGAGCUCGAGAUCCCACCAAAUUAUUAGAUUGACUAUUGAGAGCUGUUCUCGUGACUUUUUAUGAAGGGACAUUGCGAGCACUCUUACAGCUGCUAUGGUAUGGAAUUUGUCUAAUAACAAAAAAAUAAUGGUAUAUCAUUAUUUAAUGUUUUUUUAAUCGGAAAUAUCGACACAAUUUUGUCGCUUUGGCUGGAAGUGGACGAGCAUCUUAUUCGUUAUUAGCUGGCACAAGGUUAAAAGAAGGCUGUCAUAUUAAUCGUAGUCUGCUUACGCUUGGAACUAUUAUUCGUAAGCUGGG